GAUGAAGAACGCAGCGAAAUGCGAUACGUAAUGUGAAUUGCAAAUUCAGUGAAUCAUCGAGUCUUUGAACGCACAUUGCGCCCCCUGGUAUUCCGGGGGGCAUGCCUGUCCGAGCGUCAUUGCUGCCCUCAAGCACGGCUUGUGUGUUGGGCCCCGUCCUCCGAUCCCGGGGGACGGGCCCGAAAGGCAGCGGCGGCACCGCGUCCGGUCCUCGAGCGUAUGGGGCUUUGUCACCCGCUCUGUAGGCCCGGCCGGCGCUUGCCGAUCAACCCAAAUUUUUAUCCAGGUUGACCUCGGAUCAGGUAGGGAUGCCCGCUGAACUUAAGCAUAUCAAUAAGCGGAGGA
RNAcentral lists this unclassified non-coding RNA (345 nucleotides) under soil metagenome. RNAcentral's name for it is "partial contains 5.8S ribosomal RNA, internal transcribed spacer 2, and large subunit ribosomal RNA". The stretch from base 1 to 119 matches the Rfam family "5.8S ribosomal RNA", at positions 35 to 154 of the family's 154-position model. The record is from RNAcentral.